Long non-coding RNA from Ceratosolen solmsi marchali, 117 nucleotides. RefSeq lists it as uncharacterized. The transcript has 3 exons. NCBI's taxonomy places the organism in Eukaryota, Metazoa, Arthropoda, Insecta, Hymenoptera, Agaonidae. The record is from RefSeq and is a predicted model, not a curated record.
AGAAAACGACUUUGAUACAGAUACGCCACAACUUAAGCAAUACAUAGGAAAAAUGGAUACGGAAAAGUCAAGAGAAGGAAAUCAGGAGCAGCCUUCGACGCCCACAGCACUGGCCCC